CCUACGGGUGGCAGCAGUGAGGAAUAUUGGGCAAUGGGCGCGAGCCUGACCCAGCCACGCCGCGUGAAGGAAGAAGGCUUUCGGGUUGUAAACUUCUUUUCUCAGGGGCGAAGAAAGUGACGGUACCUGAGGAAUAAGCCACGGCUAACUACGUGCCAGCAGCCGCGGUAAUACGGAGGUCGCAAGCGUUAUCCGGAUUUAUUGGGUUUAAGGGGCGUGUAGGCGGGAGCGUAAGUCAGAUGUGAAAACUCAGGGCUCAACCCUGAGCCUGCAUUUGAAACUGUGUUUCUUGAGUGCUGGAGAGGUAAUCGGAAUUCGGGGUGUAGCGGUGAAAUGCGUAGAUAUACGGAGGAACACCAGUGGCGAAGGCGGAUUGCUGGACAGUAACUGACGCUGAGGCGCGAAAGUGUGGGUAUCAAACAGGAUUAGAUACCCGGGUAGUC
This 443-nucleotide ribosomal RNA is filed under the name uncultured bacterium. RNAcentral describes it as "partial 16S ribosomal RNA". It matches the Rfam family "Bacterial small subunit ribosomal RNA", at positions 338 to 795 of the family's 1533-position model. The record is from RNAcentral.